AACGAACGCUGGCGGCAGGCCUAACACAUGCAAGUCGAACGCUCUCUUCGGAGGGAGUGGCAGACGGGUGAGUAACGCGUGGGAAUCUACCCAGCUCUACGGAAUAACGCAUGGAAACGUGUGCUAAUACCGUAUACGCCCCAUGGGGGAAAGAUUUAUCGGAGUUGGAUGAGCCCGCGUCUGAUUAGCUAGUUGGUGAGGUAAUGGCUCACCAAGGCGACGAUCAGUAGCUGGUCUGAGAGGAUGACCAGCCACACUGGGACUGAGACACGGCCCAGACUCCUACGGGAGGCAGCAGUGGGGAAUAUUGGACAAUGGGCGCAAGCCUGAUCCAGCCAUGCCGCGUGAGUGAUGACGGCCUUAGGGUUGUAAAGCUCUUC
This 380-nucleotide ribosomal RNA is filed under the name uncultured bacterium. RNAcentral describes it as "bacterial SSU rRNA". It matches the Rfam family "Bacterial small subunit ribosomal RNA", at positions 29 to 436 of the family's 1533-position model. The record is from RNAcentral.